Molecule: ribosomal RNA, 484 nt
Filed under: uncultured bacterium
Lineage: Bacteria
Description: partial 16S ribosomal RNA
Rfam family: Bacterial small subunit ribosomal RNA
Source: RNAcentral
AUUGAACGCUGGCGGCAGGCCUAACACAUGCAAGUCGAGCGGAUGAAGGGAGCUUGCUCCUGGAUUCAGCGGCGGACGGGUGAGUAAUGCCUAGGAAUCUGCCUGGUAGUGGGGGAUAACGUCCGGAAACGGGCGCUAAUACCGCAUACGUCCUGAGGGAGAAAGUGGGGGAUCUUCGGACCUCACGCUAUCAGAUGAGCCUAGGUCGGAUUAGCUAGUUGGUGGGGUAAAGGCCUACCAAGGCGACGAUCCGUAACUGGUCUGAGAGGAUGAUCAGUCACCCUGGAACUGCGACACGGUCCAGACUCCUACGGGAGGCAGCAGUGGGGAAUAUUGGACAAUGGGCGAAAGCCUGAUCCAGCCAUGCCGCGUGUGUGAAGAAGGUCUUCGGAUUGUAAAGCACUUUAAGUUGGGAGGAAGGGCAGUAAGUUAAUACCUUGCUGUUUUGACGUUACCAACAGAAUAAGCACCGGCUAACUUCGUG